UCUUGCUCUGAUACAUCUUAAACUCAAAAUGAUCUAAUACACUUUUCAAAUCAACUCUUAAACAUGCUUUGGCACACAUAAUUAUUUUUUGUAUCAAAAGCAAUUAAAGCACAUAAUUAUUCUUUGCUCUGAUGCUAAAACUAAAAUCAAAUGAGAAUGAGCAAAUUUUCAAAAUACAGCUUGCUCUGAUAACAAAAACAAGUUUUCUACUCUAACACCAAAAUCACAUAAUCCAAUGAGCAUAUCUUCAAAUCUUUAAGCAAAUGGGCAAACUAUUCUUGCAUAUGACCAUUUAUAUCACAUACCAAAAGAAUCAUACUCUUUUCAAGCAUAUACACCUAUAAUGCAUUCUUUUGAAAUUAAUGCAUUCACAUAAAUGCUUUUGUUCAAGUGUUUUGUCAUCAUCAAAAAGGGGGAGAUUGUUGCUCCUAGAUUGAUUUUGAUGAUU
RNAcentral lists this long non-coding RNA (448 nucleotides) under Elaeis guineensis (African oil palm). RNAcentral describes it as "long non-coding RNA (EGUI_LNC073894)". Lineage: Eukaryota; Viridiplantae; Streptophyta; Magnoliopsida; Arecales; Arecaceae. The record is from RNAcentral.